RNAcentral lists this ribosomal RNA (282 nucleotides) under Pristurus rupestris rupestris. RNAcentral's name for it is "partial 12S ribosomal RNA". Lineage: Eukaryota; Metazoa; Chordata; Lepidosauria; Squamata; Sphaerodactylidae. The record is from RNAcentral.
ACAAGCGAAAAACUUAAAACUCAAAGGACUUGACGGUGUCCCACCCGUACUAGAGGAGCCUGUCCGAUAAUCGAUACCCCGCGCUUUACCUUACCCCCCCUAGAGACUCAGCCUAUAUACCGCCGUCGCCAGCCCAUCGCGCGUGAGUGAACCAUCGAGGACGCAAGAAUUAUAAACUAAAACGACAGGUCAAGGUGUAGCUAAUGGGGGGGACAGAGAUGAGCUACAUUUUCUUUACUAGAAAACACCAACCACAGGAUGAAACAUCCUGCCACCAGGCGG